GUUAAAAAGCUCGUAGCCGACUCUCGGGGGCGGUUGCAACGGUCCGCAGAAAUGUGAGCACUGUCGUAGCCGCCUCUUCCUUCUGGACACGUUGUUUUCUCUUCACUGAGCGGGCAGCGGGGCCAGAUCGUUCACUUUGAACAAAUUAGAGUGUUCAAAGCAGGCCUCCGCCUGAAUACUUGAGCAUGGAAUGAUAUCAAUAGGUCCUCUUUCCUCGUUUAUUGGUGAUGAGGAGAGAGGAGAUGAGAAAGGGGAAUGGUUGGGGCCAUUCGUACUGCAGCGUUAGAGGCGAAAUUCUUGGAUCGCUGCAAGACGAACAACAGCGAAAGCAUUUGGCAAGAACGUUUCCACCGGUCAAGAACGAAAGUUAAGGGAUCGAAGACGAUCAGAUACCGUCGUAGUCUUAACCAUAAACUAUGCCGACUAGAGAUCGGUGGAUGUUAUUUUAUGACUCCAUCAGCAUCUUAUGAGAAAUCAAAGUCUUUGGGUUCCGGGGGGAGUAUGGUCGCAAGGCUGAAACUUAAAGGAAUUGACGGAAGGGCACCACCAGGAGUGGAGCCUGCGGCUUAAUUUGACUCAACACGGGGAAAACUUACC
Molecule: ribosomal RNA, 597 nt
Filed under: uncultured eukaryote
Lineage: Eukaryota
Description: bacterial SSU rRNA
Rfam family: Eukaryotic small subunit ribosomal RNA
Source: RNAcentral